This 450-nucleotide ribosomal RNA is filed under the name uncultured bacterium. Its description in RNAcentral is "partial 16S ribosomal RNA". It matches the Rfam family "Bacterial small subunit ribosomal RNA", at positions 354 to 796 of the family's 1533-position model. The record is from RNAcentral.
GUGGGGAAUAUUGGACAAUGGGCGAAAGCCUGACCCAGCCACGCCGCGUGAGUGAUGAAGGCCUUCGGGUUGUAAAGCUCUGUGGGGAGGGAAGAAAAAGCGGGAGAGUAACUGCUCUCGUGUUGACGGUACCUCCUUAGCAAGCACCGGCUAACUCUGUGCCAGCAGCCGCGGUAAUACAGAGGGUGCAAACGUUGCUCGGAAUUACUGGGCGUAAAGCGCGUGUAGGCUGACAUGCAAGUCGGGUGUGAAAUCCCAGGGCUCAACCUUGGAACUGCACUCGAAACUGCACGGCUUGAGUACUGGAGAGGGAAGCGGAAUUCCGGGUGUAGAGGUGAAAUUCGUAGAUAUCCGGAGGAACACCAGUGGCGAAGGCGGCUUCCUGGACAGUAACUGACGCUGAGACGCGAAAGCGUGGGGAGCAAACAGGAUUAGAUACCCGUGUAGUCC